Molecule: ribosomal RNA, 253 nt
Filed under: uncultured bacterium
Lineage: Bacteria
Description: partial 16S ribosomal RNA
Rfam family: Bacterial small subunit ribosomal RNA
Source: RNAcentral
UACGUAGGAGGCAAGCGUUGUCCGGAAUUACUGGGCGUAAAGCGCGCGUAGGCGGCCUUGCAAGUUAGAGGUGAAAGCCCGGAGCUCAACUCCGGAACUGCCUUUAAAACUGCAUAGCUUGAAUCCGGGAGAGGUGAGUGGAAUUCCGAGUGUAGAGGUGAAAUUCGUAGAUAUUCGGAAGAACACCAGUGGCGAAGGCGGCUCACUGGACCGGUAUUGACGCUGAGGUGCGAAAGCGUGGGGAGCAAACAGG